GCCACAGAGGAACUCUGGAGCUCUGUCAGUGUGACAAUCGGGUUCUUGGUCUCCCCCGAUUGCUCAGUUUGGCCCGGGCGGCCAGCUCUAGGAAGAGUCUUGGGGGUUUCAAACUUCUUCCAUUUAAGAAUGCUGGAGGCUACUGUGUUCUUGGGGACCUUAAAUGCUGCAGAAAUGUUUUGGUCCCCAUCCCCAGAUCUGUGUCUUGACACACUCCUGUCUCGGAGCCCUACGGACAAUUCCUUCAACCUCAUGGCUUGGUUUUUGCUCUGACAUGCACUGCCAACUUUGGACCAUAUAUAGACAAUCAAUUGAAUGUACCACAGGUGGACUCCAAUCAAGUUGUAGAAACUUUUCAAGGAUGAUCAAUGGAAACAGGAUGCACCUGAGCUGAAAUUCGAGUCUCAUAGCAAAGGGUACUUUGAAUACUUAAGUAAUUAAGGUAUUUCUGGUUCAAUUUUUUUUUCAUAAAUGUGCAAACAUUUCUAAAAACCUGUUUUCACUUCGUCAUUAUGGGGUAUUGUGUGUAGAUUGAUGAUGAUUUUUUCCCCCCAUCCAUUUAAGAAUAAGGCUGUAACGUAACAAAAUGAGGAAAAAGUCAAGGGGUCUGAAUACUUUCUGAAUGCACUGUAUGUGUACAUUUAUUUUGCAACACCAGUGGAUUGGUCAGCAUGUUAGCUCCCUUUAAAAAAGCAUGUGUAUAUUUAGUGAUUUUUGUCAUUCUUUGAGGUUGUUUGUCUUCAUUCGUUCUUGUUGAUUGUAGGCCUGGGUAAGUCCUUUCGAUGUAUGCCUUUUAUUUCAAUGCAUGUGUAGGAUUUAUCUAGCAUAGUUUGCAUUCGACGUCAGCUGUUUAAUGCACCGGUUACUUUCACAUUGAUUUGAAGUCGGCCUUGUUGUCACGUCCUGACCAGUAAAGGGGUUAUUUGUUAUUAUAGUUUGGUCAGGACGUGGCAGGGGGUAUUUGUUUAGAGUGUUUCGGGGUUUGUUGGGCUAUGUGUUUAGGUAGAGGGGUGUUUGUUUAGAGUGUUCUGGGGUUUUUUGUUAUGUUCUAUGUUAGUAUAUUUCUAUGUUCUGGUCUAGUCUUUUUAGUUCUAUGUUUAGGGUUAUUGGAUGGACCUUCAAUUGGAGGCAGCUGUUCCUCGUUGCCUCUGAUUGAAGGUUUUGUUUCGUUUCAUCAAGUGUUGUAAUAAAAGUUAAGAUGAGCACGCAACCCGCUGCGCCUUGGUCCAGUAUAUACAACGACCGUUACACUUGUGAAGGAAUGUUGGUGUGGAAGAAAAAGAAAGAACAUCCAGACGACACCAUGAGGGAAAUUUUGAGCAAGGUUUUUUGUGGAAUGUGUGCUAAAUCCAGUGAUGGAAACAACCAAACCACAG
Salmo salar (Atlantic salmon) is the source of this 1376-nucleotide non-coding RNA. Lineage: Eukaryota; Metazoa; Chordata; Actinopteri; Salmoniformes; Salmonidae. The record is from RefSeq and is a predicted model, not a curated record.